AAAGAUUUAAUUUAAUAAAUUAAAAUAUUAGUUUGUCAAACUAAAAAUAUUAAUUUAAAUAUUAAUAAUCUUUU
RNAcentral lists this transfer RNA (74 nucleotides) under Neostromboceros nipponicus. RNAcentral's name for it is "tRNA-Asp". The record is from RNAcentral. Lineage: Eukaryota; Metazoa; Arthropoda; Insecta; Hymenoptera; Tenthredinidae.